GGCGCGCUCUGCGCGCACCGGCGGACGGCUCAGUAACACGUCGGUAACCUACCCUCGGGAGGGGGAUAACCCCGGGAAACUGGGGCUAAUCCCCCAUAGGCCUGAGGUACUGGAAGGUCCUCAGGCCGAAAGGGUCUCUGACCGCCCGAGGAUGGGCCGGCGGCCGAUUAGGUAGUUGGUGGGGUAACGGCCCACCAAGCCGAAGAUCGGUACGGGCCAUGAGAGUGGGAGCCCGGAGAUGGACACUGAGACACGGGUCCAGGCCCUACGGGGCGCAGCAGGCGCGAAACCUCCGCAAUGCGGGCAACCGCGACGGGGGGACCCCCAGUGCCGUGGCAUCGCCACGGCUUUUCCGGAGUGUAAAAAGCUCCGGGAAUAAGGGCUGGGCAAGGCCGGUGGCAGCCGCCGCGGUAAUACCGGCGGCCCGAGUGGUGGCCGCUAUUAUUGGGCCUAAAGCGUCCGUAGCCGGGCCCGUAAGUC
Molecule: ribosomal RNA, 480 nt
Filed under: Thermococcus sp. 17S4
Lineage: Archaea; Methanobacteriati; Methanobacteriota; Thermococci; Thermococcales; Thermococcaceae
Description: bacterial SSU rRNA
Rfam family: Archaeal small subunit ribosomal RNA
Source: RNAcentral